Non-coding RNA from Xyrichtys novacula (pearly razorfish), 339 nucleotides. The record is from the annotation of a GenBank genome assembly. NCBI's taxonomy places the organism in Eukaryota, Metazoa, Chordata, Actinopteri, Labriformes, Labridae.
GAGGUUGGAGAUGGGCCGGAAGUUACUGAUGUCAUCGGGGUUGAGUCCAGGUUUUUUGAGGAUGGGGGUGACAGCAGCCAGUUUGAGUGACGGGGGAACGGUGGCGGAGUUGAGGGAGGAGUUGAUGAUCUGUGUUAUGAUGGGGGAGAUGACAGGGAGGCAGUGCUUGAUGAGGGAGGAUGGAAUGGGAUCCAGGAUACAGGUGGAUGAAGACAUGGAGCAGAUGAUAUUAGUCACGUCGGUUGAGGAGACAGGUGAGAAGCAGGAGAGUGCUGAUGGGAUGAGGGGAGGAGGGGAGGAGCAGGGAAUGGAGGGUGGGGGAAGGGAGUUAUAGAUUGC